ACGGGAGGCAGCAGUGAGGAAUAUUGGUCAAUGGGCGAGAGCCUGAACCAGCCAAGUCGCGUGAAGGAAGACGGCCCUAUGGGUUGUAAACUUCUUUUGCAUGGGAAUAAAGUGAGGGACGCGUCCCUUUUUGUAUGUACCAUGCGAAUAAGGAUCGGCUAACUCCGUGCCAGCAGCCGCGGUAAUACGGAGGAUCCGAGUGUUAUCCGGAUUUAUUGGGUUUAAAGGGUGCGUAGGCGGGCGAUCAAGUCAGUGGUGAAAUGGUGUGGCUCAACCAUAGCAUUGCCGUUGAAACUGGUUGUCUUGAGUGCGAAUGAGGUGGGCGGAAUGUGUCAUGUAGCGGUGAAAUGCAUAGAUAUGACACAGAACACCGAUUGCGAAGGCAGCUCACUGGGACGCAACUGACGCUGAGGCACGAAAGUGCGGGGAUCGAACAGGAUUAGAUACCCUGGUA
Molecule: ribosomal RNA, 454 nt
Filed under: uncultured Porphyromonadaceae bacterium
Lineage: Bacteria; Pseudomonadati; Bacteroidota; Bacteroidia; Bacteroidales; Porphyromonadaceae
Also listed under: 1 other name
Description: bacterial SSU rRNA
Rfam family: Bacterial small subunit ribosomal RNA
Source: RNAcentral